RNAcentral lists this small nucleolar RNA (107 nucleotides) under Gossypium hirsutum (cotton). Its description in RNAcentral is "Plant small nucleolar RNA R71". It matches the Rfam family "Plant small nucleolar RNA R71". Rfam says of the family: R71 is a member of the C/D box family of snoRNAs containing the C (UGAUGA) and D (CUGA) box motifs. The record is from Rfam by way of RNAcentral. Lineage: Eukaryota; Viridiplantae; Streptophyta; Magnoliopsida; Malvales; Malvaceae.
AUCACAUGAUGAGGACACUUAUGAAGUAACUCCUUGAAUUUCUCCCAAGCUACAUAAAAAGACUCGUCAUCCAAUUGUUGGAAAGUUGUGAUCUCGUCCCGCAACAU